RNAcentral lists this long non-coding RNA (2994 nucleotides) under Homo sapiens (human). RNAcentral's name for it is "HSALNT0140645". The record is from RNAcentral. Lineage: Eukaryota; Metazoa; Chordata; Mammalia; Primates; Hominidae.
GGGGGGCGGAGUCUGCGCUGAGUGAAGAGGUGCCAGAAUCCGCGAAGAGGGUCGACGAAUGCGCUGCCGCGGAGGGCCGUGGAAGAACUUGCCGAUGGAGGGACCACAGAGGGAUCUAUGGGAGAACAACGGCAACUGCAGGAGAGUGGGCCAAAUAAUCAUGGCAACAGGACUUUUAGAAGCACGUCCUCUGAAAGCCAUUUUCUGCCUGUGGUUGGAAAGGGACUGUGAGUCUUUCCUCAGGAAGUCAGUAGCCCUACCUGGUGAGGUGAUCAAGAGUUUGCUAGCACAAGAGAUGAAGCAACAAUGGCCAUGAGGGAUUCAAGGAUUAUGCGUCUCUGCACCCUACAAUACACCAACUGGCAGUUCCAUCAUUUGAAAGAAAAUCUUCAAGGUAAAGACAUUUACAAUGACACAAAAACCUUUCAAAGGCAUCAUGGUCCUAAAGGGCUUUCCCCAAGGGACAGCACAGUGUGUUCCAGGCCCUGACAAGAGGAACUGCUGCGGAGACCUUGGGUUCACCAUUCAGGUUUAAGACCUGUGACACAGACUGAAGCUCUCCUGGCAUACUCUGAAGCUCUCCUGGCACCCUCCCCUUUAUGCUUCACAGGUGUUUCUCCUAAUAAAUUUCUUGUAUGUCUCAUCCCAUCUGGGAAUCUGCUUCUCAGAAGACUCAAACUAACAUAUCUGCCCACUAUGUAUCAGGCACUGUGCUAGGUGCUGGAGACCUAAAAAUGGAUAAAACAGACAAGAGCCCUUCAUUCAUGGUGCUUGCAUCAUAGUGGGGGUAAAUAUUCCAUAAGCAAGAGAAUAAAUAGAUAAGAUAAAUUUAAAAACUAGAGAAUGACUUGUUAUAAAUUGAUUGGUAAUCAGGGAAGGUCUUCUGAGGAGAUGACACUUAAGCUGACACCUGAAUGAGAAGAAGGGGCUGGUCAACUGAAGACCUAGAUGAGAGUAUUGUAGGCAGAGGGAAGAGCAAGGACCACAGGUUGAGAAAGAAACUAGUUUGACAUAUUUGAUGGGGGAAAAGCCAGUUUGAAGAAUAAUAAAAAAGGGAAUGAAUGGAAUAAACAAGGACAUUAAAGAACUAGAGAGGAGCCUGAUCAUCACAGUAAGGCAUUUAGAAUAGGUUAGGGAGAAGACCAUUCUCUAUCAGGGUAGAACUGAAAAGGCUACGUCUGCUGCUAAAUGCUGCUAUAAAAAGACAAGGGCUUUCAUAUACUACAGAUGCAAUCUUUUGGAUCCACUUAUAUUGAGCAGACUUCGUGGACCCUCCUAAGAAAGUAGGCACCACAAAAAUAUUACAUCUAUACAAAAUGCAGGGCUCCAAGCCAUAGAUGUAUAUAUCACAUUGUGUGUGUGUGUGUGUGUGUGUGUGUGUGUGUGUGUGUGUGUGUGUGUGUCUGUAAAGCCAGCCAGUUUGUAAGCUGAACAUGACUCCCACAUGCUUUCAGAGAGAAGAGAAAAGAGAGAGGACCGUGUACUGGAAUAAGCCCUAAGAACUUCUUGGAAGAAGGGGAAGUUAGCUGAUCAAAAUUAUGUUGCUUUCUAGAAAAGAAGUAAAAAGCCAGGCAGUUUCUUUUGCUAGAACUGUCUGGGUAGAUUUCCAUUCUAAGAAAAUUACAACAAUGUAUAGUUUUAAAUAGCUAGAAGGAGAAUACUGAAUGUUCCCAACACAAAGAAGUGAUAAAUAUUUGAAAUGACGGAUAUAUUCAUAGUCCUUAUCUGAUUGCUAUACACAAUAUGUAUUGAAACAUCAUUAUGUACCCCAUGAAUAUGUGCAAUUAUUAUAAUUCAAUUUAAAAAAUAAAAUUAAACAAAGAAAGCAAGGGGUCAACAGCAUCCAUUGUAAAUGUGCUACCUCUCCACCUGUCUCAUUUAUGAAGUUGGGGGAGCUCCUGAACAGAUAACGAAGUGCAAUGAAAUUUGGAGAAGAAAUCUAGUACCUAGGUCUAGAGAGCAAAUGUGCAACUUCUUUGGAGAAUAUGUUUCAAAUAAAGCUUCAAGAGCUGUUCCUAGUAGCAUAUGGCUGUUGCUCUUGGUGUGGAGGUUCAUGGAGUAAUGUUUCUUGAUCAGAGGAUCUUGCAGGUUAUUGUUCACUUCUACUGCUGCCUCUACCCAAUGUAUAGUUUGAGUCCUAAGAGGCUUGGCCUUUUUACUUUGCCUUCCACCCCAAUAGGGACAGCACAGUGAGAAACAGAUCUACAAUGGCUCCGCAGACCUUUCCUUUGGAGAGAUGCUGGGCAGCUGCACACACUAAGAAAGUUUCCUGAAAUAGAAUUGCAUUAUCUGAGGCCUGGAAAAUGUGUUGGAAAAGCUCACUUAGCUAUGGGAAAGCCGAUGAAAGACCUGUCUGGUUUCUGAGCAUUGUCUGGGGAGCUCAAAUUCUAUAAAUGGGCCCCCAAGGUAUCCAUCAUUUAGCCCUUGCCAAGGCUGGGUCAACAUGCUGGCAAAGAACUGUCUGAACAUUGAAAAAUCCUCCAACCUAUUAUCUCCUGAGAGAAAGCUAGUUAUUUGAAAUACAAGUUGGAUUUUAAAAUUUCUAUCAGCAUGUUUUUAAAUUAAUCUUUUGUUAAUGUAAACAUACAGAAAAUUACAUGCAUUAUAAGUGAACAGAUCAAUGAAUUUUCAAAAAGUGAAUAUAACUUUAUAGCCACAUCAGAUCAAGAAACAGACAUUACCAGCACCCCAGGAGUCUUUCUACUAUUUCCUUCCUGAAUCCAGAAUAGGGUAACUACUAUUCUGGAUUGUAAUACAGAUAAGUUAACUUUGCCUGUUUUGUAUUUUAUGCAAAUAAAGUCAUACCAUAUACAGUACUGAUCUCAAGGAAGAAGCUUUUAGCAUUUUAAUAUUAAAUACAAUAACAUGUAAUUUUUUGGUAGAUUUUUAAAAUCGAAUUUAGAAAGUUCCCUUCUAUUUCUAGUUUGUUACAAAUUUUCAUCAUGAAUAUAUGUUGAAUUUUGUCAAAUGCUUUAUUUUAUUGAGAUAAUCUGC